CCAGGAGGUUGGCUUAGAAGCAGCCAUUCCUUUAAAGAGUGCGUAACAGCUCACUGGUCUAUGUGAUCUCGCGCCAAAAAUAUAACGGGGCUAAAGCUUUAACCGAAGAUGCGGGUGGUCUAUUACUUCGGUAAUAGAUCGCGGUAGAGGAGCGUUCCUGUCUGUGCUGAAGCAAAAUUGAGAAAUUUUGUGGAGCGGCAGGAAGUGAAAAUGUUGGCAUAAGUAACGUAAUUCGGGUGAAAAACCCGAACACCGAAUACCCAAGGUUUCCCAAGCAACGUUAAUCGGCUUGGGGUUAGUCGGGCCUAAGGUGAGGCCGAAAGGCGUAGCCGAUGGACAACAGGUUAAUAUUCCUGUACAACUUGAUUUUCGCCAGAGCAAUACUGGAGGGAAAUGGAUAUCGACUUUUGACAGCUUCGGCUUGAGAAAGAAGAUUUCCGUGGACUGAAAGUGGCGCUAGUUCAGGGGUAACGCGGUUGGAUAUUUAGAGCGUGUUAAUGAAUUCACGUACAAGCUGUUAGUUUAUGCCUCUUGAAGUAAAUCUCUUGAGGUUCGCGAGCAGUUAUGUAAAAUGCUCCCGCUUUGCGGGGGAGAUUCUAAAGAUUUCAACUGACGAGAAAAACCUCGGUAACGAGAAAAUCAGGUUUCCGUACCUCAAACCAACGCUGGUGGGUAGGUCGAGUAGACCAAGGUGAUCGAGAAAACUACUGCUAAGGAACUCGGCAAAACAGCAGGUGUAACUUCGGGAUAAACCUUGCCAGUGCUUUUACUCUUCGGAAUAGAAGUUCUGGCCGCAGCGAAAGAUUCCACGCAACUGUUUACCAAAAACACAGGUCUCUGCUAAGUCGUAAGACUAUGUAUAGGGGCUGACGCCUGCCCAGUGCCAGAAGGUUACGAGGAAGGGUUCACGCUCUGAAUCUAAGCCCUGGUGAACGGCGGCCGUAACUAUAACGGUCCUAAGGUAGCGAAAUUCCUUGUCGGGUAAGUUCCGACCCGCACGAAUGGUGUAAUGAUGUGGAAACUGUCUCGGCAGUAGACUCGGUGAAAUUGCAGAACUGGUAAAAAUGCCAGUUAACCGUGGAAAGACGGAAAGACCCCAUGGAGCUUUACUAUAACUUGACAUUGAUUCUGGGUAUGGCUUGUGCAGGAUAGGUGGGAGACUUUGAAGCCUGGACGUAAGUCCAGGUGGAGUCGCCCUUGAGAUACCACCCUUGCUAUGCUUAGGAUCUAACUUGCGCCAUUAAUCUGGUAUCAAGGACAUUGUUAGGUGGGUAGUUUGACUGGGGCGGUCGCCUCCUAAAAGGUAACGGAGGCGCGCAAAGGUUCCCUAGCGCUGGAUGGAAAUCAGCGUGAUAGUGUAAACGCAUAAGGGAGCUUGACUGCAAGACCUACAAGUCGAGCAGAUGCGAAAGCAGGUGUUAGUGAUCCGAUAGUGACACGUGGGUGUGCUAUCGCUCAACGGAUAAAAGUUACCCUGGGGAUAACAGGCUUAUAGAUCCCAAGAGUUCAUAUCGACGGAUCUGUUUGGCACCUCGAUGUCGGCUCGUCCUAUCCUGGGGCUGGAGAAGGUCCCAAGGGUUUGGCUGUUCGCCAAUUAAAAGGGUACGCGAGCUGGGUUCAGAACGUCGUGAGACAGUUCGGUCCUUAUCUUCCACGGUCGAAGGAUAUUUGAAGGAUGCCGCCCCUAGUACGAGAGGACCGGGGUGGACGAACCUCUAGUGUAUCUGUUGUCGCGUUAACGGCAUUGCAGAGUAGCUAUGUUCGGAUGGAUAACCGCUGAAAGCAUCUAAGUGGGAAGCCAUUCCUAAGAUUAAAUAUCCCCAUGAACCUCCCUGAAGAUUACAGGGUUGAUAGGCUGCAGAUAUACGCACAGCGAUGUGUUUAGUCGAGCAGUACUAAUAGGUCAUUGACUUAUUUUAUA
This 1921-nucleotide ribosomal RNA is filed under the name Promethearchaeota archaeon. RNAcentral describes it as "Candidatus Lokiarchaeota archaeon (microbial mat metagenome) partial 23S ribosomal RNA". It matches the Rfam family "Bacterial large subunit ribosomal RNA", at positions 1093 to 2925 of the family's 2925-position model. The record is from RNAcentral. Lineage: Archaea; Promethearchaeati; Promethearchaeota.